RNAcentral lists this ribosomal RNA (372 nucleotides) under unidentified archaeon. RNAcentral's name for it is "bacterial SSU rRNA". It matches the Rfam family "Archaeal small subunit ribosomal RNA", at positions 90 to 460 of the family's 1478-position model. The record is from RNAcentral.
UCAGUAACACGUAUCAACCUAACUCAUGGAGGGGGAUAAUCUCGGGAAACUGAGAAUAAACCCCCAUAGAUAAUGGUGCCUGGAAUGGCCCAUUGUUGAAACAGUUUACUGCCGUGGGAUGGGACUGCGGCCUAUCAGCUUGUUGGUGAGGUAAUGGCCCACCAAGGCUAUAACAGGUACGGGCUCUGAGAGGAGAAGCCCGGAGAUGGGUACUGAGACACGGACCCAGUGCCCUAUGGGGCUGCAGCAGGCGAGAAACCUUAGCAAUGUGCGAAAGCACGACUGGGUCAGUCCUGAGUGAUUUCUGAUAAAGGAAUCUUUUGUCCUGUUGUAAAUGCACGGGCGAAUAAGGGGUGGGCAAGUCUGGUGCCA